GCCUAUAACCUCCACUGUCCCAGAACUUC
RNAcentral lists this non-coding RNA (29 nucleotides) under Rattus norvegicus (Norway rat). The record is from RNAcentral. Lineage: Eukaryota; Metazoa; Chordata; Mammalia; Rodentia; Muridae.